RNAcentral lists this ribosomal RNA (497 nucleotides) under uncultured bacterium. Its description in RNAcentral is "partial 16S ribosomal RNA". It matches the Rfam family "Bacterial small subunit ribosomal RNA", at positions 28 to 507 of the family's 1533-position model. The record is from RNAcentral.
GAUGAACGCUGGCGGCGUGCCUAAUACAUGCAAGUCGAGCGAACAGAUGAGGAGCUUGCUCCUCUGACGUUAGCGGCGGACGGGUGAGUAACACGUGGAUAACCUACCUAUCAGACUGGGAUAACUUCGGGAAACCGGAGCUAAUACCGGAUAAUAUAUUGAACCGCAUGGUUCAAUAGUGAAAGACGGUUUUGCUGUCACUUAUAGAUGGAUCCGCGCCGCAUUAGCUAGUUGGUAAGGUCACGGCUUACCAAGGCAACGAUGCGUAGCCGACCGGAGAGGGUGAUAGGCGACACUGGAACGGGGCCGCGGUCCAGACUCCUACGGGAGGCAGCAGUAGGGAAUCUUCCGCAAUGGGCGAAAGCCUGACGGAGCAACGCCGCGUGAGUGAUGAAGGUCUUCGGAUCGUAAAACUCGGUUAUUAGGGAAGAACAAAUGUGUAAGUAACUAUGCACGGCUUGACGGUACCUAAUAAGAAAGCCACGGCUAACUACGUG